Molecule: non-coding RNA, 72 nt
Organism: Pangasianodon gigas (Mekong giant catfish)
Lineage: Eukaryota; Metazoa; Chordata; Actinopteri; Siluriformes; Pangasiidae
Source: the annotation of a GenBank genome assembly
GUGUAUUUAUUGUUCUGUGCAUUUAUUGUUCUGCGUAUAUUAUUCUGUGUAUUUAUUGUUCUGUGUAUAUUG